Molecule: ribosomal RNA, 552 nt
Filed under: uncultured Helicobacteraceae bacterium
Lineage: Bacteria; Pseudomonadati; Campylobacterota; Epsilonproteobacteria; Campylobacterales; Helicobacteraceae
Description: bacterial SSU rRNA
Rfam family: Bacterial small subunit ribosomal RNA
Source: RNAcentral
GGNGGACGGGUGAGUAAUGUAUAGUUAAUCUGCCCUUUAGAGGGGGAUAACAGUUGGAAACGACUGCUAAUACCCCAUACUCCUUUUACAUUAAUUGUAAUUGGGAAAUGUUUUUUCGCUAAAGGAUGAGACUAUAUGGUAUCAGGUAGUUGGUGGGGUAAGAGCCUACCAAGCCAAUGACGCCUAGCUGGUCUGAGAGGAUGAUCAGCCACACUGGAACAGAGACACGGUCCAGACUCCUACGGGAGGCAGCAGUGGGGAAUAUUGCACAAUGGAGGAAACUCUGAUGCAGCAACGCCGCGUGGAGGAUGACGCAUUUCGGUGUGUAAACUCCUUUUAUAUGGGAAGAUAAUGACGGUACCAUAUGAAUAAGCACCGGCUAACGCCGUGCCAGCAGCCGCGGUAAUACGGAGGGUGCAAGCGUUACUCGGAAUCACUGGGCGUAAAGCGCGCGCAGGCGGCCUUUUAAGUUGGAUGUGAAAGCCUAUGGCUCAACCAUAGAACUGCAUCCAAAACUAUCAGGCUAGAGUGUGGGAGAGGAAGAUGGAAUUA